Molecule: ribosomal RNA, 253 nt
Filed under: uncultured bacterium
Lineage: Bacteria
Description: partial 16S ribosomal RNA
Rfam family: Bacterial small subunit ribosomal RNA
Source: RNAcentral
UACGUAGGGUGCGAGCGUUGUCCGGAAUUAUUGGGCGUAAAGGGCUCGUAGGUGGCCAACUAAGUCAGACGUGAAAUCCCUCGGCUUAACCGGGGAACUGCGUCUGAUACUGGCGAGCUUGAGUGCAGGAGAGGAACGCGGAAUUCCAGGUGUAGCGGUGAAAUGCGUAGAUAUCUGGAGGAACACCGGUGGCGAAGGCGGCGCACUGGACCACAACUGACGCUGAGGCGCGAAAGCUAGGGGAGCAAACAGG